Molecule: transfer RNA, 80 nt
Filed under: Penicillium nalgiovense
Lineage: Eukaryota; Fungi; Ascomycota; Eurotiomycetes; Eurotiales; Aspergillaceae
Description: tRNA-Met
Rfam family: tRNA
About the family: Transfer RNA (tRNA) molecules are approximately 80 nucleotides in length. Their secondary structure includes four short double-helical elements and three loops (D, anti-codon, and T loops).
Source: RNAcentral
CGUUCCAGCAUGUUAGCUCAGGGGAAGAGCGCCGGGCUCAUAACCCGGAGGUCCCUGGAUCGAAACCAGGACAUGCUAUG